GCCCAAUGAUGAUACCAAGGCGAAUAUGAGCUCACUGAAUGAGAGCAUUGCGAUAUUCUUGUCUUUUCUGGCAGGUAAUCUUGGUAGUGUAGCGGAGGCUUUCUGCUCUGCUAUAAGGGCUUGCCUACAGUAACUUGGCUUUAACCAAAUUAUUCCUCUAAAGUUACAGUUGACUAAUCAAUGGGAGGAAGUCAACAGUGUCUGUGUGUGUGAGUGAAUAUUUGUUUAUGUUUCUGUUUGAGGUAAAGCAUUUGCCGAGCUCUCUGUUUGGUCAGCAGUGAGAUGUGUCUUUGGUAAUCUGAGGGCA
Small nucleolar RNA from Thalassophryne amazonica, 307 nucleotides. NCBI's taxonomy places the organism in Eukaryota, Metazoa, Chordata, Actinopteri, Batrachoidiformes, Batrachoididae. The record is from RefSeq and is a predicted model, not a curated record.